CCAACAUGUUUAACUAACCAACCAACGUGUUUAACCAACCAACCAAUCAAUCAAUGCAUGUUUCCGUUUCAUGUGUUUCAUACGGGAUCCAAGGUUUUUUUUUCGCUUGUUUUAAUUCAGCCUAUCCAACCAACGUGUUUAACCAACGUGUUUAACCAACAUGUUUAACCAACGUGUUUAACUAACCAACCAACGUGUUUAACCAACC
This 208-nucleotide long non-coding RNA is filed under the name Mytilus galloprovincialis (Mediterranean mussel). The record is from RNAcentral. Lineage: Eukaryota; Metazoa; Mollusca; Bivalvia; Mytilida; Mytilidae.